AGUGAACGCUGGCGGUAGGCCUUACACAUGCAAGUCGAACGGCAGCACAGCAAGAGCUUGCUCUUACGGGUGGCGAGUGGCGGACGGGUGAGGAAUACAUCGGAAUCUACUUUUUCGUGGGGGAUAACGUAGGGAAACUUACGCUAAUACCGCAUACGACCUACGGGUGAAAGCAGGGGAUCUUCGGACCUUGCGCGAUUGAAUGAGCCGAUGUCGGAUUAGCUAGUUGGCGGGGUAAAGGCCCACCAAGGCGACGAUCCGUAGCUGGUCUGAGAGGAUGAUCAGCCACACUGGAACUGAGACACGGUCCAGACUCCUACGGGAGGCAGCAGUGGGGAAUAUUGGACAAUGGGCGCAAGCCUGAUCCAGCCAUACCGCGUGGGUGAAGAAGGCCUUCGGGUUGUAAAGCCCUUUUGUUGGGAAAGAAAAGCAGCAGGUUAAUACCCCGCUGUUCUGACGGUACCCAAAGAAUAAGCACCGGCUAACUUCGUG
This 492-nucleotide ribosomal RNA is filed under the name uncultured bacterium. Its description in RNAcentral is "partial 16S ribosomal RNA". It matches the Rfam family "Bacterial small subunit ribosomal RNA", at positions 29 to 507 of the family's 1533-position model. The record is from RNAcentral.